Molecule: transfer RNA, 83 nt
Filed under: Ignavibacteria bacterium GWA2_55_25
Lineage: Bacteria; Pseudomonadati; Ignavibacteriota; Ignavibacteria
Also listed under: 2 other names
Description: tRNA-Tyr
Rfam family: tRNA
About the family: Transfer RNA (tRNA) molecules are approximately 80 nucleotides in length. Their secondary structure includes four short double-helical elements and three loops (D, anti-codon, and T loops). Further hydrogen bonds mediate the characteristic L-shaped molecular structure. tRNAs have two regions of fundamental functional importance: the anti-codon, which is responsible for specific mRNA codon recognition, and the 3' end, to which the tRNAs corresponding amino acid is attached (by aminoacyl-tRNA synthetases). tRNAs cope with the degeneracy of the genetic code in two manners: having more than one tRNA (with a specific anti-codon) for a particular amino acid; and 'wobble' base-pairing, i.e. permitting non-standard base-pairing at the 3rd anti-codon position.
Source: RNAcentral
GGGCAGGUAGCGAAGUGGUUAAACGCAUCAGACUGUAAAUCUGACGGCUUAUGCCUUCGGAGGUUCGAAUCCUUCCCUGCCCA